CAGAGGACCCCUAAACUCUGUUUCUAUAUGUAACUUCUGAGUAAAACCAUAAAUAAAUCAAAACUUUCAACAACGGAUCUCUUGGUUCUGGCAUCGAUGAAGAACGCAGCAAAAUGCGAUAAGUAAUGUGAAUUGCAGAAUUCAGUGAAUCAUCGAAUCUUUGAACGCACAUUGCGCCCGCCAGUAUUCUGGCGGGCAUGCCUGUUCGAGCGUCAUUUCAACCCUCAAGCACAGCUUGGUGUUGGGACUCGCGUUAAUUCGCGUUCCCCAAAUUGAUUGGCGGUCACGUCGAGCUUCCAUAGCGUAGUAGUAAAACCCUCGUUACUGGUAAUCGUCGCGGCCACGCCGUUAAACCCCAACUUCUGAAUGUUGACCUCGGAUCAGGUAGGAAUACCCGCUGAACUUAAGCAUAUCAAUA
This 418-nucleotide ribosomal RNA is filed under the name Fusarium sp. RNAcentral's name for it is "eukaryotic LSU rRNA". The stretch from base 62 to 215 matches the Rfam family "5.8S ribosomal RNA". Lineage: Eukaryota; Fungi; Ascomycota; Sordariomycetes; Hypocreales; Nectriaceae. The record is from RNAcentral.